Molecule: ribosomal RNA, 458 nt
Filed under: uncultured bacterium
Lineage: Bacteria
Description: bacterial SSU rRNA
Rfam family: Bacterial small subunit ribosomal RNA
Source: RNAcentral
CCUACGGGAGGCAGCAGUGAGGAAUAUUGGACAAUGGAGGCAACUCUGAUCCAGCCAUGCCGCGUGCAGGAAGACGGCCCUAUGGGUUGUAAACUGCUUUUAUACAGGAAGAAAUAUAUCUACGUGUAGAUAUUUGACGGUACUGUACGAAUAAGGAUCGGCUAACUCCGUGCCAGCAGCCGCGGUAAUACGGAGGAUCCAAGCGUUAUCCGGAAUCAUUGGGUUUAAAGGGUCCGUAGGCGGUCUAAUAAGUCAGAGGUGAAAUCCUACAGCUCAACUGUAGAAUUGCCUUUGAUACUGUUAGACUUGAGUUAUUGUGAAGUAGUUAGAAUGUGUAGUGUAGCGGUGAAAUGCAUAGAUAUUACACAGAAUACCGAUUGCGAAGGCAGAUUACUAACAAUAUACUGACGCUGAGGGACGAAAGCGUGGGUAGCGAACAGGAUUAGAUACCCUGGUAG